UCGGGAAUCUUGCACAAUGGGCGAAAGCCUGAUGCAGCAACGCCGUGUGAGCGAGGAAGGUCUUCGGAUCGUAAAGCUCUGUUGUUGGGGACGAAGGGCGAAGGGUUAAUAGCCCCUAGCCUGACGGUACCCUUCGAGGAAGCCCCGGCUAACUACGUGCCAGCAGCCGCGGUAAUACGUAGGGGGCGAGCGUUGUCCGGAAUUAUUGGGCGUAAAGAGCGUGUAGGCGGCCUGGUAAGUCUGCCGUGAAAACUCGGGGCUCAACCCUGAGCGUGGGGUGGAUACUGCCAGGCUAGAGGAUGGUAGAGGCGAGUGGAAUUCCCGGUGUAGCGGUGAAAUGCGCAGAUAUCGGGAGGAACACCAGUAGCGAAGGCGGCUUCCUGGGCCAAUACUGACACUGAGGUGCGAAAGCGUGGGGAGCAAACAGGAUUAGAUACCCCCGUAGUCC
This 448-nucleotide ribosomal RNA is filed under the name uncultured prokaryote. Its description in RNAcentral is "bacterial SSU rRNA". It matches the Rfam family "Bacterial small subunit ribosomal RNA", at positions 355 to 796 of the family's 1533-position model. The record is from RNAcentral.